UUUUCCUCACAACUUUUAACUUCGUUGUUUUGGCUGGUUUGGUUUCUGUGUGCUCAACUUGUGCUCGGUACUUUUCUCCUUUCUGACUUUGUUUUUAUUUUUAUUCUCUCUCUCUCUCUCUCUCCCCCUCUCCUCCUUUUCCUCCUCCUCCUCUCUUCUCUCUUACCUCCCUCCCUCUCUCUCUCAUCUUUAUCCCUUCCCCUCUUUUCUGUUCGCCCUCUUCUCCCUGCUCUUUUUCCCUUUCCACCCCCCUCCUCUGUUCUCCCUCACCUCCUGCGCCCCCUCCCCCUUCCCGGGUUCUGACAGUACGAUGAGCUGCCCCAUUACGGCGGGAUGGACGGAGUAGGGGUUCCCGCUUCCAUGUACGGAGACCCUCACGCGCCACGGCCGAUUCCCCCGGUUCACCACCUGAACCACGGGCCGCCACUCCACGCCACACAGCACUACGGCGCGCACGCCCCACACCCCAAUGUCAUGCCGGCCAGUAUGGGAUCCGCUGUCAACGACGCCUUGAAGCGGGACAAGGACGCGAUCUAUGGGCACCCGUUGUUUCCUCUGUUAGCUCUGGUCUUUGAGAAGUGCGAGCUGGCGACCUGCACUCCCCGGGAACCUGGAGUGGCUGGUGGAGACGUCUGCUCCUCCGACUCCUUCAACGAGGACAUCGCGGUCUUCGCCAAGCAGGUUCGCGCCGAAAAGCCACUUUUUUCCUCAAAUCCAGAGCUGGACAAUUUGAUGAUACAAGCAAUACAAGUACUAAGGUUUCAUCUUUUGGAGUUAGAAAAGGUCCACGAACUGUGCGAUAACUUCUGCCACCGAUACAUUAGCUGUUUGAAGGGGAAAAUGCCCAUCGACCUCGUCAUUGAUGAAAGAGACGGCAGCUCCAAGUCAGAUCAUGAAGAACUUUCAGGCUCCUCCACUAAUCUCGCUGACCAUAACCCUUCUUCUUGGCGAGACCACGAUGAUGCAACCUCAACCCACUCAGCAGGCACCCCAGGGCCCUCCAGUGGGGGCCAUGCUUCCCAGAGCGGAGACAACAGCAGUGAGCAAGGGGAUGGUUUAGACAACAGUGUAGCUUCACCUGGUACAGGUGACGAUGAUGAUCCGGAUAAGGACAAAAAACGCCAGAAGAAAAGAGGCAUUUUCCCCAAAGUAGCAACAAAUAUCAUGAGAGCAUGGCUCUUCCAGCAUCUCACAGUAAGUCAAGAUGAAAGAGAAAAAAAAAAUAGUUUUUGUUGUUUUGCUAGCAAGUUAUACGGUCUCACUAAGGUGCCUAUUUUCUUAUUCUUGAAAUCUGAUGACUAAUAGAGUAGUUAAGUUUUUUUUUUAAUCAACUAUUACCAUCCAAAGAGCACCCUCUAGAAAGUAGCAGGUUUUUUGUUUUAAGAAGCUGGGAAUGGACUUUAUUUAAAAUGAUCUAAGACCCUAAACAGCAUAUAUAAGUAAAUUUGUUAUUUAUGCUAAAAGUAUGAGAGCAACUUCAGAUAAUGCAACAGCAACCAAGGGAAAUGGCUGUAAGGAGCUCACAAAUCCAUAAACAUUGCUGAUUACACUGUUAACGAAAGCCGUCUCCUCUAGGAGGCAAAAACAAAACAAAACAAAAAAAA
Molecule: small RNA, 1604 nt
Filed under: Pongo abelii (Sumatran orangutan)
Lineage: Eukaryota; Metazoa; Chordata; Mammalia; Primates; Hominidae
Description: retained intron
Source: RNAcentral